Molecule: RNA transcript, 249 nt
Organism: Oncorhynchus nerka (sockeye salmon)
Lineage: Eukaryota; Metazoa; Chordata; Actinopteri; Salmoniformes; Salmonidae
Exons: 5
Source: RefSeq, a predicted model, not a curated record
UGGCUUCUCGUUUGAAGGUCCUCAGGGUGUUCAAAGCACUGCACAGAACAAGAAUGGAGUUGUUCAAAGAAGAUACCAGAGCAUUGACAGACUGACCAGGUGAAAGCUAUGAUCUCUUACUGAUGUCACUUCAAUCAUUGUAGAUGAAGGGGAUGAUACAGCUGCAAGACGAAAGAUAAAUGAGGAAUUCAGGAAAAACAAAAAUGAGACUUCGGAGGAAAACAUCAGUCAGAUGAUUAAAAUGGCCGC